GGGGAUAUAGCUCAGUUGGGAGAGCACCUGCCUUGCAAGCAGGGGGUCAAGGGUUCGAAUCCCUUUAUCUCCA
RNAcentral lists this transfer RNA (73 nucleotides) under Oribacterium sp. oral taxon 078 str. F0262. Its description in RNAcentral is "tRNA-Ala". It matches the Rfam family "tRNA". Rfam says of the family: Transfer RNA (tRNA) molecules are approximately 80 nucleotides in length. Lineage: Bacteria; Bacillati; Bacillota; Clostridia; Lachnospirales; Lachnospiraceae. RNAcentral also lists the same sequence under 2 other names. The record is from RNAcentral.